RNAcentral lists this ribosomal RNA (690 nucleotides) under Triticum aestivum (bread wheat). RNAcentral's name for it is "partial small subunit ribosomal RNA". Lineage: Eukaryota; Viridiplantae; Streptophyta; Magnoliopsida; Poales; Poaceae. The record is from RNAcentral.
AUGCAAGGUUCAUUACCAGCGCAUGUACGUACAGUUUUGCCAUGCUUGGCCACUAUAAUGCAAGAAGAUGGGAACGGCAAGGUAACAUCCGUACCCGGGAAUGAAAGUCUAGCUUUGCCAAAAGCAAUGUGCGAAGCAAACGGUGAGGAGUUACCCCUGAAGGUACAAGGAGCCAUGCAAAUAAUGUCGUCUCCGAAGGCACAAGAGACGAGGACAACGCCACCUACACCUGUACUGCUACAACCGGUGUUACACCUGUAUUCGGAGAAGACUCUUGGGACGAUUGACCCGGCAAAAGUGAAAGGGAGUGGGCGACGGUGUCUAGCAAGCGCCGAGGAACCGGCGAAAUUUGAGGACGCAAAUAAGGAGAAGUGUUGGCGUCAUACUAUGAAAGAAGAGUUGGGGUCGAUCCAUGACAAUAAUUCAUGGGAGCUUAUGGAUCUUCCCAACGAUGAAAAGGCUAUGGAGCUCAAGUGGGAAUUUAAGGUCAAGAAAGAUGUUGAAGGGUGCAUGAAGCACAAAGUGAGGUUUGUAGCCAAAGAGUAUGUGCAAGAGGAAGGUGUGGAUUUUGAAGAAGUGUUCGUUCCCAUUGCAAAGAUGGAGUCGGUGAGAUUACUCAUCUCUCUCGCGGCUCAGGAAUCAUGGAAAGUACAUCACAUGGAUGUAAACUCCGCGUUUUUGAAUGGCUAG